CCUACGGGAGGCAGCAGUGGGGAAUAUUGGACAAUGGGCGAAAGCCUGAUCCAGCCAUGCCGCGUGUGUGAAGAAGGCCUUCGGGUUGUAAAGCACUUUCAGUGGGGAAGAAAGCCUUGGGGCUAAUACCCUCGAGGAAGGACAUCACCCACAGAAGAAGCACCGGCUAACUCCGUGCCAGCAGCCGCGGUAAUACGGAGGGUGCGAGCGUUAAUCGGAAUUACUGGGCGUAAAGCGCGCGUAGGCGGUCUGAUAAGCCGGUUGUGAAAGCCCCGGGCUCAACCUGGGAACGGCAUCCGGAACUGUCAGGCUAGAGGGCAGGAGAGGAAGGUAGAAUUCCCGGUGUAGCGGUGAAAUGCGAAGAGAUCGGGAGGAAUACCAGUGGCGAAGGCGGCCUUCUGGACUGACACUGACGCUGAGGUGCGAAAGCGUGGGUAGCAAACAGGAUUAGAUACCCUUGUAGUC
Molecule: ribosomal RNA, 465 nt
Filed under: Vreelandella stevensii
Lineage: Bacteria; Pseudomonadati; Pseudomonadota; Gammaproteobacteria; Oceanospirillales; Halomonadaceae
Description: partial 16S ribosomal RNA
Rfam family: Bacterial small subunit ribosomal RNA
Source: RNAcentral